GACGAACGCUGGCGGCGUGCCUAAUACAUGCAAGUAGAACGCUGAAGGAGGAGCUUGCUUCUCUGGAUGAGUUGCGAACGGGUGAGUAACGCGUAGGUAACCUGCCUGGUAGCGGGGGAUAACUAUUGGAAACGAUAGCUAAUACCGCAUAAGAGUAGAUGUUGCAUGACAUUUGCUUAAAAGGUGCAAUUGCAUCACUACCAGAUGGACCUGCGUUGUAUUAGCUAGUUGGUGGGGUAACGGCUCACCAAGGCGACGAUACAUAGCCGACCUGAGAGGGUGAUCGGCCACACUGGGACUGAGACACGGCCCAGACUCCUACGGGAGGCAGCAGUAGGGAAUCUUCGGCAAUAGACGGAAGUCUGACCGAGCAACGCCGCGUGAGUGAAGAAGGGUGUCGGAUCGUAAAGCUCUGUUGUAAGAGAAGAACGAGUGUGAGAGUGGAAAGUUCACACUGUGACGGUAUCUUAACAGAAAGGGACGGCUAACUACGUG
RNAcentral lists this ribosomal RNA (495 nucleotides) under uncultured bacterium. RNAcentral's name for it is "partial 16S ribosomal RNA". It matches the Rfam family "Bacterial small subunit ribosomal RNA", at positions 28 to 507 of the family's 1533-position model. The record is from RNAcentral.